This 85-nucleotide transfer RNA is filed under the name Synechococcus lacustris. Its description in RNAcentral is "tRNA-Leu". It matches the Rfam family "tRNA". Rfam says of the family: Transfer RNA (tRNA) molecules are approximately 80 nucleotides in length. Their secondary structure includes four short double-helical elements and three loops (D, anti-codon, and T loops). Further hydrogen bonds mediate the characteristic L-shaped molecular structure. tRNAs have two regions of fundamental functional importance: the anti-codon, which is responsible for specific mRNA codon recognition, and the 3' end, to which the tRNAs corresponding amino acid is attached (by aminoacyl-tRNA synthetases). tRNAs cope with the degeneracy of the genetic code in two manners: having more than one tRNA (with a specific anti-codon) for a particular amino acid; and 'wobble' base-pairing, i.e. permitting non-standard base-pairing at the 3rd anti-codon position. The record is from RNAcentral. Lineage: Bacteria; Bacillati; Cyanobacteriota; Cyanophyceae; Synechococcales; Synechococcaceae.
GGGGGCAUGGCGGAAUUGGUAGACGCAGCGCACUCAAAAUGCGCCGGCUUCGGCUUUGUCRGUUCGAGUCCGACUGCCCCCAUCA